UAUGCUCUCUCCUCAUAUUUUGGGAGAGGAUCACUAUAAUACUGCUCGUGGAGUACAGAAGGUUCUUCAAAAUUACAAGAAUUUGCAAGAUAUUAUUGCCAUUCUGGGAAUGGAUGAGCUCAGUGAAGAUGAUAAGUUAACUGUUGCACGUGCUCGUAAAAUCCAACGGUUCCUGAGCCAGCCUUUCCAUGUUGCUGAAGUAUUUACUGGGGCACCUGGCAAAUAUGUGGAGCUAAAAGAAAGUAUCAACAGUUUCCAGGGAGUUUUGGACGGAAAGUACGACGACCUUCCCGAACAAUCAUUCUACAUGGUUGGAGGCAUUGAAGAGGUCAUUGCCAAGGCCGAGAAGAUUGCCAAGGAAUCUGCUGCCUAAUUAUCAUCAUCAUUGACGUUGUCUUAUUUCACAACUCCCCAUUUUUCUCUUUGUAAUUGUGAAGAUCAAUAAUCUAGGCGAUGUUGGCAAAUGUUAUCUGUCAACAAGAUUUUCAUUUAUAUAUUUUUUUGGAGAUGUCUUGUACCAAUCUUCCCUUUGCCAUUUUAGUGUGUUGAAGAGAAAUGAAGCCACUGGCCUGCCCCUUGUUUUUGUUGUUCUUUGAAUAAGGGGGAAAAUGGACUCAGAACUUUGUAUACUUUCUUUUCCCAAUCAAUUCCAA
Molecule: unclassified non-coding RNA, 653 nt
Filed under: Hevea brasiliensis (rubber tree)
Lineage: Eukaryota; Viridiplantae; Streptophyta; Magnoliopsida; Malpighiales; Euphorbiaceae
Source: RNAcentral